UGGAACUCCAUUAUGAAGCUAAUCAUUGCUU
Molecule: non-coding RNA, 31 nt
Filed under: Mus musculus (house mouse)
Lineage: Eukaryota; Metazoa; Chordata; Mammalia; Rodentia; Muridae
Source: RNAcentral